AGGUAAACCAAAAUACAUCCCUACAAUACAUGCAUUAGCUGGUUCUAAGUCUCUUUGUAAAAUAGCAAGCUCAGCUUUGUAGUUCUUAUUCAUAUUCAUACAAUUUAUAUUUUCUCCUAACAAGGAAUUGCAUAAACUUCUACCAUUCCUCUACCAAAGAAGUAUUGUCUCAAUGAAGAUUGUAAAGUGUUUGGCAAGAGAAGAUAACUAGCCAGCCAACUUAAGCAUGUUUAAUCCUAAGGAGAGAGGAAAAAAGGGAAAGGAAUGUCAAAAGAUCAGUACUGGUAUUCAAUUCCUAUAUUUAUUACCAAGGCAGAGACCAUCAAAGGAAAGUUUGAAGUUCUCAGAGGUGAACACAAGAAGCGUGGAUGUGGCAUGUGAAGGGCAUGUGCUACAGUCCAGUCCCCAAGGAAUUUCACACCACUUGGCCAUCUAA
RNAcentral lists this long non-coding RNA (436 nucleotides) under Numida meleagris (helmeted guineafowl). RNAcentral describes it as "lncRNA (ENSNMEG00000014432.1)". Lineage: Eukaryota; Metazoa; Chordata; Aves; Galliformes; Numididae. The record is from RNAcentral.